GCUUCAUUGGCUCAGCUGGUAGAGCGUCAGUCUCAUAAUCUGAAGGUCGUGAGUUCGAGCCUCACAUGGAGCA
This 73-nucleotide transfer RNA is filed under the name Coemansia erecta. RNAcentral describes it as "tRNA-Met". It matches the Rfam family "tRNA". Rfam says of the family: Transfer RNA (tRNA) molecules are approximately 80 nucleotides in length. Their secondary structure includes four short double-helical elements and three loops (D, anti-codon, and T loops). The record is from RNAcentral. Lineage: Eukaryota; Fungi; Kickxellomycota; Kickxellomycetes; Kickxellales; Kickxellaceae.